This 76-nucleotide transfer RNA is filed under the name Cellulomonas hominis. Its description in RNAcentral is "tRNA-His". It matches the Rfam family "tRNA". From Rfam's summary of the family: Transfer RNA (tRNA) molecules are approximately 80 nucleotides in length. The record is from RNAcentral. Lineage: Bacteria; Bacillati; Actinomycetota; Actinomycetes; Micrococcales; Cellulomonadaceae.
GUUGCCUGUAGCUCAGUGGCAGAGCGCCCGGUUGUGGCCCGGGAGGUCGCGGGAUCGAUCCCCGUCAGGCACCCCA